This 353-nucleotide long non-coding RNA is filed under the name Dasypus novemcinctus (nine-banded armadillo). RNAcentral describes it as "lncRNA (ENSDNOG00000051027.1)". The record is from RNAcentral. Lineage: Eukaryota; Metazoa; Chordata; Mammalia; Cingulata; Dasypodidae.
UGCUAAGACACUCUUGUUUCGCUCCUUGACAACCCUGGCGGGACAAGCUGGCUGCCGCCCCGGCUCCGGCCCCCGCGGGAGCAGGCUAACAACACUGCCUGCGGCCGGGCCGCUGAUCACCGUCGCCUCGGUCCAGACCGCUGUGCUUGAAGAGUUGGCGACAUCCUGGGACUCCUGACUGGUCCCAACUAUGGUCUUCCCGGGAUGUCUCAAGGAAUAGCGAGUGUGGUGAAAAGAGACUGGCAAACCUGAUUUGGAUAGGCAACUUACCUAACUUCCCUGGGCUCUAAGGUGGGCAUAUGUAAAAUCAAAAUACUACCAUUUACCUCCUUUUGAACUUCUCAGGAUAAUAU